GGCCGAAUUGGGGGUAUCUGUUGAAUUACCAUCAUAACUUUGAAAGUUUAUGGAUCUGAUUCAUGAAACUUGGACAUAAUAGUAAUCAAGUAUUACUGAACAUCCUGUGCAAGUUUCAGGUCACAUGAUCAAGGUCAAAGGUCAUUUAGGGUCAAUGAACUUUGGCCAAAUUGGGGUAUUUGUUGAAUUACAGCCAUAAAUUUGAAAGUGUGUUGGUCUAGUUCAUAAAACUUGGACAUAAUAGUAAUCAAGUAUCACUGAACAUCCUGUGCAAGUUUCAGGUCACAUGAUCAAGGUCAAAGGUCAUGUAAGGUCAAAGAACUUUGGCCAUGUUGGGGGUAUUUGUUGAAUUGCCAUCAUAUCUCUAUAAGUGUAUUGGUCUAGUUCAUAAAACGUGGAAAUAAGAGUAACCAAGUAUCACUGAACAUCUUGUGCGAGUUAUAGUAGUUUUCAAAAUCAGCACUGCUGCUAUAUUGAAUUGCGUGAUGCAGGUGAGACGGCCAGAGGCAUUCCACUUGUUAAUAAAAUGCGCAAACCCCAUUGGAAACACGUACUGUAGCAGAGCGAUACAACGUUUUGACUGACCGCGCGCAUUGAAAUCGCGGUCAGGGUUGUUGUAUCCCCUAUGUAGCGUUUUUGUACAGGGGAAAUCUAAACCGCUCAAACCGAAAUUAUAAGCAUAGAGCUCUUUUGCGAUAUUUUCUCUGAUCCUUGGUUUUGUGUAAAAAUAAGGAUACCAAUGUCAAGCAAUCGUCUUAGUCUUUCCAACCAUACAUUUUUCUAGCAAUGAAUAUGUUGUAAGGCUGGAGAACUAAGUGUGACAUUUAUAGUAAACUUUGAAGUCGAUUUUCUCUGAAAUGGGUUUGCACCGUCGUAUGUGGAUACGAUGGUUCGGAUGACCGCCGACAACAUGUGUAGGCCUUCACAAUUCUAAAUUUUACAGUGUACAUGGGCAGGUUUGGUUUAUCAGUCGGCCCUGUGAUCAAGAAGGAAGCUUUAUGUUUUGAGAAUUCCCUAGUAAUUGACCUUUUUUUAAUCAUUUAUGACAGAGUGUGUUGCUUUUGCUAAGCAACUUUUCAACAUGAAGUUUGACGAUCAGAGUGAAGGAUCAGUGUCCAGGAUGAUGUCAUGGAUUUUACUGCUGCUCCACUAUUCCAACACAGAUAGGGCAAUAGAAGGUUUGGAACCCCUACAGAUGGUUGCCUUACAAAGAAGAACAGCAGAAGAAGGAUCCGACGGAUAAGGCGAAACAAAAGGGACUCUCCACAGGAUGAAUACUUCAAAGCACUCAUCAAAGAGUUCUGCAACUGGGUUUCAGGGUUUGGGCUGGAACAACAAUUGUGUAGGAAGAGUCAACAAUUCACAGUAUCUAUUCUAGUGGUUAUCAGGCAAAGCCCGCCCUCUCUGUGCUGAUCCAUGUCAUCGAACGGACAAACGUUCCCGCAGAGCUAAGGGUGCCGGAAUAGGCUCUAUUACAGACUUCGGAACAGAUGGAGAAGAAGCAGAAAUAGUUGAAAUGCAGUACGGUUCAGGGAAUUAAACUCCUCAGCUGGGUCAAGAUGAUUUACAGGGCCUGACACCUCAAACCAAAGACACGGAAAAGACAACUGGCAUCAGAGCAAGCACAGAGUGCUAUCCACGAGAGCACAUCCCUGGAAUCAAGGGUUUAUCUGGCAGAAGUGGUCCAACUGAAAGCAGAGAAUAUGGAGCUUGAUUAAGAAGAAUUUGUUGUCAUGCUGAGGGAUGAACUCGACAAACUCGGGUCAAUGGUCAAAUAAAUACCCAGCAAUAGGCCACCAGAACCAGUGAAGGUAUAGAGUGCUAUUCAAGAGAGCAGAGCACUGGAAUGAAGGGUUCUACUAGCAGAAAAGGCUGCUGUAUAUGGAGGUAGAUUAGGAAAAGUUGGUGUCAUGCAGGAAGAUGAAGUCAACAAACGCGGGUCAAUGAUCAAGAGAAUACCCAGCAAUAUGCCACCAGAACUAGUGUCGUGUCACUCAAUGUGCAUCAUGGAUACACCCCCUAUCUGAUGUGAACCAUUUACCAAGCAUAAAUGAUAGAGAUAGUCUAUCAGAGACAAGGACGUGGCACCAAUCUUAAAAUGAUCUUCUGUUUUUUUUUAAGUGAUCGGGUAGAUCAAAUUUAUCAAACCUGUUAUCAGUUUAAACUUUUAUAUCAAUUAAUCCAAAACUUUUUUGUUAUCAAAUGUGACUUUUACAUUCAUUUUCCCUCAUGAACCCAUUUUAAUGUGUUUUAUGGUGACUUUUACAUAGCUCCAAUCAGCAGGUCCAAGCUAUUAUCUCUUUGCUGAUGUUUGAUUGUAUCUGAAUUGUCUGUUGUGUCAUUAUUGCAUGCAUACUAUGUAGGUGUUGUGAGGCUUAGAAUUAACCCUAACAAGAGGGUGGGGGUUCCCUUGAAAUCUUAGUCAUCGACUGCCAUUGCACCGAUAGCUGGCAUGCACAUUGCCUUGGACCUAAUCUACAAAAUCAUUGGUAUAUACUUCAUGAAAAUUGCUAUAAAUUGAUUUUGCUAAUAUAUUUGUAAUAAGUAUGCAAAAUCAUGCUUUUUGCUUCCAAAAUAAAGCUCCAAAUGUCCUAAUUUUUGGUGCAGAAAGUAUUUGUGGUGGUCUUGUCAAAUGUUCUUGGAAAAACUGCAAUAUCAGGCCAAAUUCUUAUGUAUUAUUUUGUUUUUACGAUUUCCUAUGUAUUUAUUUCUUUUCGACUUCUUGCAUUUCAUUUAAUAGUUUUUUCAUGAAAUUCUCUAGUGAUACUUAAAAGAUUGCAAACAGCAUAAAAUAUAGUAAUGACAACAAAUAUAUUCAGUUAUUCAUAUGUGGUUGAAAGCACAAUUUGUAUUGAAAUUGCAUACAAAAUCAUGUUUUUGAGCAAAUUUUAGUCUUUAAAGAUGCGGGAGAAGUUUUGUUUUGAAAACAUUAUGCGAAACAUUGAUGGGUGCCCUCUAAUGUUCCAAUGUCUGUUUAAAAUCCAUUUUUUUUCUAAAUGUGUCCUCCCCCCAAAAAAAAAAAAAAUCUAACAAAUAGGUGAUCAACAGAACAAGUAAUCAAAGAUUAACCCUUCAUAGAAAAAAUAAGUGGGUGACAUUAUGCCUCUCACAACUAAAAAAAAAUAUAAUUUCACUUCUUUAAAACUCAGAAAAAUUAGGAAAAACAAACAAUUUUUUUAGUCAAAUGAGACAGCUUGGUACACCCCUAGUUGUAAAAUAAUCUAUAUUGAAAUAAUUUGUUCUCUCUAUAACUGAAGAGAUCAAAUCUUGUCUUUCGAUCUGUGUUUUCCUUCAACAAGAAACUUACCCACAUUGUGCCACACUCAACCCAGGUUAAGACAAAAAUCCAUGGUACUAGUAGAUAGGUCAGAUGGUGUUACUGUGUUAGAAAGUGCUUUCAUAUUAUUGGAUAUUUUACCUUUUUUAUAAGUAUAUCAAACUAGCAAUACAAUUCUGGGAAGUGUU
Molecule: long non-coding RNA, 3465 nt
Organism: Lytechinus pictus (painted urchin)
Lineage: Eukaryota; Metazoa; Echinodermata; Echinoidea; Temnopleuroida; Toxopneustidae
Exons: 6
Source: RefSeq, a predicted model, not a curated record